This is a long non-coding RNA of Cynara cardunculus var. scolymus (artichoke), 381 nucleotides long. RefSeq lists it as uncharacterized. The record is from RefSeq and is a predicted model, not a curated record. Lineage: Eukaryota; Viridiplantae; Streptophyta; Magnoliopsida; Asterales; Asteraceae. The transcript is spliced from 2 exons.
UGUAGUGAUUCCAUUUUCUCAUUCACGUUUUAGUAAUCAAGCUUUCGUUUCUUUUCUUAUUAGAAACGCGCACCUGCUUUGUUGGACAACCUAGCACAAGCCUUCUUGAUGGCACCCUUUUUCGUGUUGUUAGAGACUCUUCAAAUGGCGUUCGGUUAUGAACCAUAUCCGGGGUUUCAUGAACAUGUUAAAGCCAAAGUAGAUGCAGGUAUCCAAGAGUGGAAGGAGAAGAAGCAAAAGAAGAUUUCAUAAAUAUUAUAUGUCAAGUAACGAAAAACUUCUGUUACAUACAAAACAUUCGUGUUGCAAACUAUAUGUUGUUUUCAUUAUGUAUAACAAAAUCAAAAUGAUGCUUUGCAAAUUCAUCAUAUGUUUGUUCCC